This 74-nucleotide transfer RNA is filed under the name Bacillus subtilis subsp. subtilis str. BSP1. Its description in RNAcentral is "tRNA-Ile". The record is from RNAcentral. Lineage: Bacteria; Bacillati; Bacillota; Bacilli; Caryophanales; Bacillaceae.
UCAUCAUUUUUUAUUUGUUUUCGACGACUAUGGUGAUGAUUGCCGGAGGCGGUGUGACCCUGCAAAUGUACAAG